CUCACUUCAAAAUUAGUCUGAUUUCAAUACCCGAGUCCGUACGAGCUAGGCCGAAUUGGGCGUGCAAGCCCCGGAGCUGCUCGGCCAUACGUCACCCUGAAUCAAAUUGAAUUCAUUCACUACAACCUCAUCAAUUUGUGUGGCAUAGAUUGUGUGGCAUAGAUUGAGAUAGCCUUUCUUAGAUCUGCAUUCUCUGUGAAAAAUCACCACACAUACCUGCAUACAUUCACAGAGGAGAGGUAGCUUGAAAACCUAGAAGAGAGAAAUGGCGAACAUGAUCAUGGCUUCCUCCAAAGCCCCAAUCACAUCCACCCCUUCCACCUGUUCCUCCACAAGAAUCAAGGUCCUCCCCAAAUUAGCCUUGCCCAGUAUCCCAAAACCCCACCAACUCCUCUCCCUGACCGCUUCUUCCCUCAAGUCCAUUUCUGUAAUUCUUGCAGCCACCUCCUUCUCACUUUCACAGGCACCUCCCUCCUUGGCUGAAGAAUUCGAAAAGGCGGCGCUUUUCGACUUCGAUUUGACACUCCCUAUUAUUGCGGCUGAAUUCUUGUUCCUCAUGUUUGCUUUGGACAAGAUUUAUUACAGCCCUCUGGGGAAAUUUAUGGAUGAAAGGGAUGCAGCUAUAAGGGAGAAGCUGAGCAGCGUAAAGGACACUUCUGCAGAGGUGAAACAGUUGGAAGAUCAGGCUACGGCUGUGAUGAAGGCUGCUAGGGCAGAGAUAUCGGCUGCGUUGAACAAGAUGAAGAAGGAGACUCAGCUUGAGGUGGAGCAGAAGAUAGCUGAGGGGAGGAAGAAAGUGGAGGCUGAGUUGCAAGAGGCUUUAGCUAAUUUGGAUAAGCAGAAGGAGGAUACUAUUAAGGCUCUCGACUCGCAGAUUGCUGCUCUUAGUGAGGAUAUUGUCAAGAAGGUCCUCCCUGUUUCUUGAAGUUCUUGAUCAUGCGAUUGUAACUUGUCCAUUUGUAUUAUCUUAAGGUCUUACUUACUGUAUCAAAUACUCAAAAUGUUGCCUAUUUUAUUUUUAAUAGUUUUGUAAUUAAUAUGGAAUUUAAUAUUUGUCAAUUCAUAAGAAUCUUGUAAAGCUCCCUCAAGCUUAUCAAGCUAUCGAAACUGUCUGGAGUAGUCUCAGACAAACAUUGUUAGGAAGAUUCAAGAGGACUAGAUGUUCUAAACCACUGAUUUCUGAAGGAAGGGAGCUCACUAAACAGUUGCUUGAGAGGUCUAAGAAUUCUGAUAAAGAUGGGAGGCUAAUAAUUUCUUUGGUAUAUAACCACUAAGAUUGUUUUGAGAAAGAUCAGCUGAUAAUAAAGAAUGGCAUUUUCCAAGAGUAUUAGGUAUGUUACCCUGCAAAUUAUUACCUUGCAGGUAGAGUUCCGUCAAUGUGGUUAAAUGUCUGAUAGAAGAUGGUAUUUCCGCAGAUAAUCUGUUCUCAUAAAGAGAUAAUAUUCUUAACUGUUGAAGCUUUCCUACAGAAUUACGAAUACUACCAGUGAGUUGGUUUGACAACAAAUACAUUGUCUCCAAGUUUUAACCAACAGUAAAUCGCCUAAGCCCUGAAAUAUUGCCUUGGCAAAACUCCCUGGAAAUUGUUUUCACUCAGAUGUAGAAGGCGAAAGUGAGUACAAUUUAGCAAGGAUGACAUGAAAUCCAAGUCAUCAGGUUUCACAUAUCCAAGCUCGAUCUGGAUUGAGUGCAAGACAAUCAAGUUUCUGCAUAUUUCAAAAAGAUGGUUCUAGCCAUUUAUACUUAUAGCAAACGACAUAAGCUCUUGGCAUUCAAACCGAGGAAGGAAUAUUUCCUAUUAGUUGAUUUCUUGCAAUAUUUAGCUUUACCAGUCUUUGGAGAGUAGAGAAUAUGCCUUGUAGUAGCCCCCUUGGAGUUUAUUUCGGGACAUAUCAAUGUUUAGUCAAUGAUGUCAAGUUGAAAAAAGACCGAGGAUGGUGCCAGAAAGGUUGUGAGGCCAAGCUCCCCAUGCUCCGGACCUGCAGUGGAUCAGAGUCUUGAUAGAAAGCAAUGUAACACAAUCUAUGAUGUUUCCAGUAAGUACAUCUCGUGGAUAUUGAGAAGGUUGACAGGAAGAUCAAGAGAUAAGGAAUCAAGAAAUGGAAACAAAUAGAGCUCAUUGUUAAUUUUGUUUGGACAUUGAUCAGUGUGAAG
This 2154-nucleotide long non-coding RNA is filed under the name Olea europaea subsp. europaea. The record is from RNAcentral. Lineage: Eukaryota; Viridiplantae; Streptophyta; Magnoliopsida; Lamiales; Oleaceae.